RNAcentral lists this long non-coding RNA (1871 nucleotides) under Ananas comosus (pineapple). RNAcentral's name for it is "long non-coding RNA (ACOM_LNC006421)". Lineage: Eukaryota; Viridiplantae; Streptophyta; Magnoliopsida; Poales; Bromeliaceae. The record is from RNAcentral.
GCCAAAUUUAGAUAUAAAAGUAGCAGAAACAUUAGAAAAAAGCAAAAAUCACGAGUAAAUGAGUCCUUAGACAGACUUCAGCAUAAGUUAUAACAUAAGCUUAUACGGCCUCCUACGUACUACAAGUUCCGUCGUAAGUUAUAACACAAGCAUAGUAGAACAUCAGUGGAAUAGCGGAAACCUCCACAGACCAGCAAGGCUAAAAUCUACUUAACAGCAACAGCACCAUCCGGACCAAUAUUUUGGAGUGGCUGCCUGCAUAGCAGACAGAGUUUCUUCUUCUGGAUCUCUUGCCCGCUGGUAGCACCCACCUCAACUGAUGGAAACUCUGUCGAUUUGCCAAGCUGAUGGAAAAAAAGGUUAGAAAUUGAAAAAACACUGCAUUGUUGAGAGAAAGAGAACGGAUCCGCUUGCUCACCUCAUUUGCCCUGGCCUCAUUUGCCCUGCUUCUCGCUGUCCUCCCGCAAUAAUUUCCAACUAUCUCCUCAUGCGUCAUGUCGAAAAACUGGUUUAGCCCAACCCGGCAACGUGGUCCCUUAACCAUUCGCUUCUUUGCACGGAACUUGUUUAUAAAGUCAAUUCUUUUGCAAAAGAUUGCAAAUCGUCGCUCCUUCUCUGCAGCAUCCGGAUACGUGCGUUUCUACUUUCUGAUACAUAGCUCAAACCUCCCACGCCUCACCAUUUCUGUCGCCCAAGAGACGGCCUUGCCGGUGAGUCCAUUGGCAAAGGUAUUCAUGCUGCUGCUGAGAUGGAAAAUAAUUGUUUGUUUCGGUAGAUCGAAAAUAGAGACUCCAAGGAGAAAAAGAAAUCCAAUAGACACAUAGUAUGAGGAAAUCAAUAGAAUUCGAAUGAAAAGUACUCGGGCAGUAUUCAUUUAGAAAUGAAAUCUUUUUAUUUCUAAAAACUUGUUGAGAAAUACUCCAAAAUCUUUCAGAAUUAUUUACUUAAAAUUGCAUUAACUAGUAGAAUCAAACAAUAGGUAAACAAGAUCUGCAAUCUCUAUAAUUCUAGAAUUUGCAGCAGCCGGAUAGGACAUAAAGAAGAUAAAGUCGAAUGUGAUAACCCUAAAGAGGAAAAUAUGAUUCAACACAUCUGACUUGCAUCUGACUUGCAUCAGGUGUACGACAAAAGCAGACGCAUAAAAAUUAGGUCAGAAAAUGAAACUAAUCACAAACAUGUCAAAUUAAAGUUGAGAAAACACGUAAAUGUUUUCCGGACAAAAGAUAACCAUCAGAGACCCUAAUAAAAUAACAGAACCCUUAUGUCCUAUGUAUUAUGUAUCCAAAUGCCAUAGAAACAUAGAUCACAUCAAUCGUACGACUCCAAAAUGCUUGGUCAAAACAAAAAAACGAAUGCAUAGAGAUAAAAAAGAAGUAAACUCUGGUUUGUGUUAGCAAAUCGGUUUAGACCAAAUAGCGAACGAAAAGAUAUGGGAGUCUAUUUAAAGGGGAAAAAAAAUAUGAUUAAUUAAUUAUUAAUCGAGAGAACAAUUAAUAGCGAACUAUUCAAGAUACAUUGGAGCGUCUUCAAUAACAUUCACCCGAUAUAAAAAUAAAAUAAAAUCCCAAUAUAAUAAUAUAAGAUAAGCCCGAAGACUUCAUCUUCUCUAAAAUUAAAGAACAACAACGAGAGCCAUUAUCAAAGCCCAUCAGAGGGAACGCUUUGUUAGUUGGAUCACAAACUCAGAUCGAUAGAUGGUAAUAUUAGCAAAUAAACUACAAAUCCGUCCUUCGUAAGAGGAGCAAAUCAAAAUAAUUGAUGGUUCGUUUGGACGGAGAGAUUAAAAAAAAAAAAAAAAAAGAUUAGUCCAUUUCCAAAACCUUUUUAAAGAAUGGGUUCAUUCGAAUACCUUAAUAAGAGAGGGAGAUCGG